CUUACUGUAAAUAUAAAAUGACCAUAUUUUUCCUCUGUGCAAACUGAAUAUCACUACAUUUCAAAUACAGUGUAGAGCAAACUUCAAUAGUGUUUGUUGUUACAUUGUUUAAAUUAAUCUAAAUUUCCUGUUUACUUUCCAGAAGGAAAAUGGAGUAGAAAAAUAGUUACUCAUUGGUUAACUUGCUGUAAACUUGCUGAGCACCAAAAUGCCAGAAGGCUUCUAAUUUUUCUAAGUCUCCUUUAAUAGCUUUAUGUGAUUGUUAGACAGGUCCUAGUUCACAGAACAAUGUUCUGUAUAAUUCCCAAAUAUUUAAUGUAACUAAGGUAAGCUUGCUGCAAAGCAAGCUAGACCUACUGCAUUAAGAUGUAUUUCUACUCCAAAGUAUCUGUGCUUGGGAUUGUAGCCUUAAUUUGAUGAAGCUAGUUCAAGUCUGUUUUUCAGUUAUUUUCCUAGGAUAUGCAAGUAAUUAGUCUUCAUACUUUGCUGUGUGCCUGAAGCAAAACUGAAUACUAGACAAGCUUUACCUACUAGUCUCUGGCUUCCCAAUCUCCAUAAAGGGUCACCUUUAGAAGUUGCCUGUCACUUAAAAAGUUUCCGGCACAUAUGAGGAGGUCUCUAUUCUGCUCUGGACAAACAGAAAUUGUCCCCCUGCCUCCUGCAUGCAUAAGCUCAGACAUGACAUUUUACAAGGCUACCCUUACUUAAUCCAUCAGGAUUCCUUGGAUGAGCAAGUUGAUAUAUAUCAUAGCUAAAAAUAAAUUGCAGUGAGGGAACAGUAGUGCUCUGCUUCCCCUCCCUACCCUUCAGCAAGUGCAUCAGAUGACAGGAAAGCUAAAGUUGUAGUUAGUAAACAAUGCUAUCUAUUAUGACAACCACUAAUCUAAUUACUGUUUUAUGUAAGCCAGACUUUACUGAAGGCUACUUACUUCUCAUUUGAGAAACAGAUUAUGGAGGAAAUGGUAUUGUCCUUCUGGGAUUUCCAACUGAAAAGACCAUUCCCUUGUUAAACCGGUUGAUGUGUUUUCAGCGCUGAGAUCUGCCAUGAAGAAAGCACACACAGCUCCAGUUCUAAGUCUAUGGGUGCUCCAAAGAGGUUUAGCACGGAGACCUUAAGAGGAAGGACUGUGGGACACAUGCUUUACCUGCAGAGGUUUAUUUCGCAGUAUUUCCAGUUAAGGCUGGGAAGAAUUCCAUUCUGAGGUGCUGGUGAACCCCCACCAAUGCGUGCAGAGCAGACUCCUUCAGCCUGAUACCCUCCAGAUGUUUUGGCCUUCAGCUCCCAUCAGCCCCGGCCAGCAUGUCAACUGUUGAAAAUGCCAGAAGACGUAGUUCAAGACAUCUGGAGAGUACCAGGUUGGAGAAGGCUGCCAUGAACAUUAUUGAACUAAAUGGACCACUGGUUUGACUUGAUAGAAGAUAGUCGUUUUCGAUGUUCUUUUAUAGUUCAAAGAGCCAGACAAGAAAAAGGUUUCAUUCCUUACCCUCUAAAGGCCCAUAUGCAUGUGAAAAACAUAACCCUUUCACCUGACAUGGAGUGUGUCUGAAAGAUUAUUCUUUUUCAACGAGCAGCACAGUUAGAACACCAAAUAUUUUCAUUGCUGUGUCCAAGCAGUCCUCCAGAAUUUGAUAGACAACCGUUGCGAAAGCCAGGGAUCUCAGCUUUCUUUUUAAAGCAGAAAGCAAUUGUUUUAAAUGCUCAGGCAACUUCUGCAACAUAGUCCAGCAUCUGAAGGACAGAGCUUCUGUGGCUUGUGUGACCAUCUUCCAUCUCUGAUGGCCUCUGGUCCCCUUGAACACUGUUCUUCCCCUUCGUCCACCAUCCGCUUCCUCCAGUGCUAUGCCUGUGUGUAAGCUUAAGUCCAAGACAGGGGGCAUUAGAUAAGUGUCCUUCCCACAGUAGCCAUUUGGAAUCAUUAAGCUUUUCCCUUUAAAUCCAAGUGGAAUAGCUGUCAUCAGAUUAAAAGGUGGCCUCUCCUCCCCAAAACAGACUAUUAUUUAAUUCAGGAACUUGUCUGACACAGGCCAUUUUCUUGAUGUAGGUGCAAUGAUGAUACAUGAAUCUCCUUUUAGAGUUGUGCAGCAUAUUAAGACAACUUUGCCCUUUGGAAACAGUGAGAUUGAUAGAAGAGGGUCUCUAGGUAUAUGGGUGAUGUUGCUGGGGAUCAGGAUCUGAAACGAGCCUAAACUUGGCAUAGCUUCACAGACAAAUGCAACCAGAUGGUCCCAGUUAACAAGCUUUGCUGCUGCCUUGGUUGAGAAAGACAACUGCGUAAGUAUCCAGGAGCCCGACGGACCCAAAGCAGCUGCCCUUGAAAUAUUAAUACUGACACUCUGUGGCAUUAAUAAGGAAUGCAAGCUAAAACAUGCAUGUGUUCUCAGAGAGGCAUACAAAAUGAGUGCAGCCGUACCAGGCACAAAGUCCUGGUGUUAUCCCAUAUACUUCAGCCAAAAUCCCUCCUAGUCAUACACGUUUUUCAGCAUAAAAAAGACAAAAUAUGGGGAGGGGGAGUAACAUGCAGAUACUUUCAUGAGGAAUGUUAGAUUACUCUGUGCAACAUAAAGGUGUUUCUCACAAUACGCCAUCCUAUAUAUAUAUAUAUAUAUAUAUAUAUAUAUAUAUAUAUUUCCCAAGUAAAUCCCUUGUUUCUGUCAAGUAAGCACACAUAGGUAUAUAGGCUUUUGUUGAUUUGUAUGGUUCACUUCUAAAGUACAGGUGCUGGCUAAGGUGUUCCCCUGACUGGAUUAUGAAUGACACUGGAAAACUUCUUACUUUUGCCAUUUAGAAGUGUGUGUGAGAGAGGCCACUUCUCCUCUUUUCCAGUCACCUCUAAUGCUGAUGCCAGUUGCACUGAUAAGGAACCUCGGGCCGUGAGCCAAACGCAGCCUUCCAGCCUUCCCCAGAAAGCCACACUCCCUUCUCAUGGAUCUGCAGGUUGCUUAGUUCUUUCCCGGAUUUGCAUAGUUCCUGCCUGCCCCAUUCUAAAAGUCUGUGGCUCAGGAGAGGACCUACCUGCUCCCUUCCAGACCCAGUGUUCUUUUCUCCACUGCAGGCCCAUCACCAGCAGAGAGAAGUCAGCCUAUGAAGAACAGCUUCUGUUUAUGUAUUUUUAUUGAUGAUAAUAAAGAACAUACCCUAAGCA
Long non-coding RNA from Varanus komodoensis (Komodo dragon), 3143 nucleotides. RefSeq lists it as uncharacterized. The transcript has 2 exons. Lineage: Eukaryota; Metazoa; Chordata; Lepidosauria; Squamata; Varanidae. The record is from RefSeq and is a predicted model, not a curated record.